UCAUGUUCGCUGUCGUGUUCUGUUUUGAGGCAGGAAAAAAAAUACACACACAUACACACACACACAACUUCGGACGGUAGCUUGUUAGCGUUAACAAACCCGUAUAGAUAUUACACGAUAAAAGUGUCACUGUUUAUAACCGUUUUAAAUAGCCUAGUGUUCUUGUUUGAAUACUAGGAGAUGUAGCCGUUAUUCCGUUUACGUUAACGUUAACUCGCUCGGGGACCGAAUGUCGCUUCCCGCAGCCUGGCUGGGACGGUAGCGGAGGGAUUAGCUUACACAAGCGGGCUAUCUUACUCUCUAGCUAUGCUGAGACACGCUCAGGUCCACUGGUAGCUUAGCACAAACAUUAGCUCCUCUGCGAUUAGCAUUAGCUCCUCUGCAUUAGCUCCUCUGAGCUUAGCAUUAUUCACGAUAUCUGAACGACUUUACGGCGUUUGUUGUCUCUGGAUAUUCACACUCUAGCUGGAUAUUUUAUUAUAGCGUGCUAGUGCUGUAAGUCCUAUACAUUCUAAGCUAGCGGGAAUUUACUGCACCACCCUUAACACGUUUCUGGUAUCUUGCCGGCAGGAUUUGGAAAGCUGACUGAGGGCUAUGUCUUCGGCAGCCACCGCACCCCCAUCCGUAGACAAGGUGGAUGGCUUCUCAAGGAAGUCAGUCCGGAAAGCUAGGCAGAGGCGAUCACAGAGCUCAUCUCAGUUCAGAUCUCAGGACAAACCCAUUGAGCUAGUGCAGUUGCCGCUACUGAAAGAUGUGUCUGCCCAAGAGCAGCCAGAGUUGUUUCUAAAGAAGGUGCAGCAGUGCUGCACUCUCUUUGACUUCAUGGACACACUGUCUGACCUCAAGAUGAAGGAGUAUAAGCGCUCUACUUUGAAUGAGCUGGUGGACUAUGCCACAGUUAGUCGAGGUUACCUCACUGAACAGACUUAUCCAGAGGUUGUCAAAAUGGUGUCCUGUAACAUAUUACGGACACUCCCUCCCAGUGACAGUAAUGAGUUUGACCCAGAGGAGGAUGAGCCAACAUUGGAAGCCUCAUGGCCUCACUUGCAGCUCAUCUACGAGUUCUUCAUUCGCUUCUUGGAGAGUCAGGAAUUUCAGCCCAGCAUUGCCAAAAAAUACAUUGACCAGAAAUUUGUACUACAGCUUCUGGAGCUGUUUGACAGUGAGGACCCUCGUGAGAGGGACUGCCUGAAGACUGUCCUGCACAGAAUUUAUGGCAAGUUCCUCGGUCUCAGGGCCUUCAUCCGCAAACAGAUCAACAACAUUUUUCUAGGGUUUGUGUAUGAAACAGAGCACUUCAAUGGAGUGGCUGAACUGUUGGAGAUCUUAGGAAGUAUCAUCAAUGGUUUUGCACUUCCUCUGAAAGCUGAACAUAAGCAGUUCCUGGUAAAAGUUUUACUGCCUCUGCAUUCAGCAAGAAGUCUGUCCCUCUUUCAUGCACAGGUAUUCUGGGCCCUGUGCCUGCUUUGGCUCUUAUACACUGGCCUAUUGUAUUGUGCAAUUCCUAGAGAAAGAUCCCACGCUAACAGAACCUGUCAUAAGAGGCUUGUUAAAGUUCUGGCCGAAAACCUGCAGUCAGAAAGAGGUUAUGUUCCUCGGUGAGCUGGAGGAGAUCCUCGAUGUGAUUGAGCCAACACAGUUUGUCAAGGUCCAGGAUCCUUUGUUCAAGCAGAUUUCCAGAUGUGUUUCCAGUCCUCACUUUCAGGUGGCUGAGCGAGCCCUGUAUUACUGGAACAAUGAAUACAUCAUGAGUCUGAUAGAAGAGAACUCCAGUGUCAUCCUGCCCAUUAUGUUUGCCAGUCUCUACAGGAUCUCCAAAGAGCACUGGAACCCAGCGAUAUCUGCUUUAAUCUACAAUGUGCUAAAAGCAUUCAUGGAGAUGAACAGCGCGCUGUUUGAUGAACUUGCUGCGACUUACAAAUCAGAACGUCAGAGGGAAAAGAAGAAGGAGAAAGAGCGGGAGGACUUGUGGCGGAAGCUAGAAGAGCUGGAGUUGAGGCGAGGAAUUCAGAACAGUGACAGCAUCAUUCCCACCUAAACAUGGAUAUAGCUCCAUCCCCGCAUCAAGCUCCAACCAAUGUUCUGCCAUAGGGACGUCUCAUGUUCACACUCCUUGUGCAACGUACUUUACUGUACACUCCUGCAUUUGUUUAUCCAUUUUCCCCCACCAGCACUGUAAAAAUCUUUUCCACUCCGUUUCCUUUGACAAUGAUGCUAUACAAAAAAAAAAGGACAAGUUGUGCUUAUCUUUGACAGGGACUGGGGUGGGAGGGGGAGGAAGACUUUAUAUUACACUCCUUGCCAUUUAAAAUAAACAAAUGCAUUAAGGCAUAUAUCCUCAGAACCCUUUGCCUGAGAACAAUUUUUUUUCCCCUUUCCGUCAAGAAAUGGCUCUCUAGAGUGCGGUUCCAAAGACUUCCCAUAAUAAGUUUCUUUGUCCCAUGUUUCUUAUUUGAAAAAUUAAAAAAAAAAAACACCCUCACGUUUUUAUGACCAUGUCCUGUAAAGGUGUGACUACUGUACUAGUCUUGAAAUGUCUCACACCUCACAAAGAUGUCAUAGCAAAGUCAGUCGACAAGAAAUUUCCAUAAUCACCUGCAUUAUUUUUCCAGGCUAUUUUUAAAAUGCGAUCUUCACAGUUCUUUGGUGUACGGACAGGAGUUGGUCUGGCACUGGUACCAUCAAUGAGAAGUAAGACACAGUGCUUGCUGUCAUCUUAGUGAAGUCGAGAACCUGUCGAGAAUUCUAUUCUGGUGGUUCACUGCCUCGGAAGAAUUUACAAAGCAAAAGAUUUUCUGACACCAUUGAAGACUAAACUUUCUUGUAAAGCAGUGUUCAGAAUUUGUUUCAUUCAGUGUAUUGAAAAGUCGAUUUGUGUCAACAUCUUAACCUGGACUCUAUAGGCGUAGGCAGCGCUGACGUCUCCUCUUUGGACUUUGGUUGGAUGCUCUUAAAAUAAUUUGGUUUAAGCUAGAUUGAUUUUAAUGGAGUGUUUGGAAUGAUAGCCUGCAUAUGUGGUGUAUUUCUGAAUGCUGAUCCAGUCUUAUUCCUCAACAGAAAUGCCAUCCACUAUAUAGUGGGUUAGGACUAAAGCACUUGGAGUUCGAGAGUUUGUUGUGUUCACAGAACUCAAUAUCCUUGUUUUUAUUUUAUUCUGUUUUAUUUCAAAUUAAAAUCAUGGGUGUGGAUUUUACAUGUAAGGAAGAUGUAUUUUUUAUUGCUCUGUGGGCCUCUGUCCCUUUCAUCAAUCUUGUGUGAUUUAUUUUUCUUUGGAUGGCCCUGUAAUGUUUGUUAAAACUUAAAGGAAAGGGUUUGAUGAACAGAAUAAAUCUUAAUUAUUUUAAAAAAUACAGAGACAUUAAAUAAACCUGUUUUUGUGAUAAA
RNA transcript from Tachysurus fulvidraco (yellow catfish), 3384 nucleotides. It is a transcript of the gene named protein phosphatase 2, regulatory subunit B', epsilon isoform a, with no coding region annotated. The record is from RefSeq and is a predicted model, not a curated record. The transcript has 14 exons. NCBI's taxonomy places the organism in Eukaryota, Metazoa, Chordata, Actinopteri, Siluriformes, Bagridae.